This 882-nucleotide ribosomal RNA is filed under the name uncultured fungus. RNAcentral's name for it is "eukaryotic LSU rRNA". The stretch from base 433 to 586 matches the Rfam family "5.8S ribosomal RNA". Lineage: Eukaryota; Fungi. The record is from RNAcentral.
UUCUUGGUCAUUUAGAGGAAGUAAAAGUCGUAACAAGGUUUCCGUAGGUGAACCUGCGGAAGGAUCAUUAAAGAAAUUUAAUAAUUUUGAGAAUGGAUUUUUUUGUUUUGGCAAGAGCAUGAGAGCUUUUACUGGGCAAGAAGACAAGAGAUGGAGAGUCCAGCCGGGCCUGCGCUUAAGUGCGCGGUCUUGCUAGGCUUGUAAGUUUCUUUCUUGCUAUUCCAAACGGUGAGAGAUUUCUGUGCUUUUGUUAUAGGACAAUUAAAACCGUUUCAAUACAACACACUGUGGAGUUUUCAUAUCUUUGCAACUUUUUCUUUGGGCAUUCGAGCAAUCGGGGCCCAGAGGUAACAAACACAAACAAUUUUAUCUAUUCAUUAAAUUUUUGUCAAAAACAAGAAUUUUCGUAACUGGAAAUUUUAAAAUAUUAAAAACUUUCAACAACGGAUCUCUUGGUUCUCGCAUCGAUGAAGAACGCAGCGAAAUGCGAUACGUAAUGUGAAUUGCAGAAUUCCGUGAAUCAUCGAAUCUUUGAACGCACAUUGCGCCCCUUGGUAUUCCAGGGGGCAUGCCUGUUUGAGCGUCAUUUCCUUCUCAAACAUUCUGUUUGGUAGUGAGUGAUACUCUUUGGAGUUAACUUGAAAUUGCUGGCCUUUUCAUUGGAUGUUUUUUUUCCAAAGAGAGGUUUCUCUGCGUGCUUGAGGUAUAAUGCAAGUACGGUCGUUUUAGGUUUUACCAACUGCGGCUAAUCUUUUUUUAUACUGAGCGUAUUGGAACGUUAUCGAUAAGAAGAGAGCGUCUAGGCGAACAAUGUUCUUAAAGUUUGACCUCAAAUCAGGUAGGAGUACCCGCUGAACUUAAGCAUAUCAAUAAGCGGAGGAA